Molecule: ribosomal RNA, 440 nt
Filed under: uncultured bacterium
Lineage: Bacteria
Description: partial 16S ribosomal RNA
Rfam family: Bacterial small subunit ribosomal RNA
Source: RNAcentral
CCUACGGGUGGCAGCAGUGGGGAAUAUUGCACAAUGGGGGAAACCCUGAUGCAGCGACGCCGCGUGAAGGAAGACGUAUUUAGGUAUGUUAACUUCCAUCAGCCGGGAAGAAAAUGACGGUACCUGACUAAGAAGCCACGGCUAACUACGGGCCAGCAGCCGCGGUAAUCAGUAGGGGGCAAGCGUUAUCCGGAUUUAAUGGGUGUAAAGGGAGCGUAGGCGGCGAUGCAAGUCAGAAGGGAAAGCCCGGGGCUCAACUCCGGGACUGCCUUUGAAACUGUGUUGCUAGAUUGCAGGAGAGGUAAGUGGAAUUCGUGGUGUAGCGGUGAAAUACGUAGAUAUUAGGAAGAACACCGGUGGCGAAGGCAGCUUACUGGACUGUAAAUGACGCUGAGGCUCGAAAGCGUGGGGAGCAAACAGGAUUAGAUACCCUAGUAGUC